This 90-nucleotide transfer RNA is filed under the name Candidatus Woesearchaeota archaeon. RNAcentral describes it as "tRNA-Trp". It matches the Rfam family "tRNA". Rfam says of the family: Transfer RNA (tRNA) molecules are approximately 80 nucleotides in length. Their secondary structure includes four short double-helical elements and three loops (D, anti-codon, and T loops). Further hydrogen bonds mediate the characteristic L-shaped molecular structure. tRNAs have two regions of fundamental functional importance: the anti-codon, which is responsible for specific mRNA codon recognition, and the 3' end, to which the tRNAs corresponding amino acid is attached (by aminoacyl-tRNA synthetases). tRNAs cope with the degeneracy of the genetic code in two manners: having more than one tRNA (with a specific anti-codon) for a particular amino acid; and 'wobble' base-pairing, i.e. permitting non-standard base-pairing at the 3rd anti-codon position. Lineage: Archaea; Nanobdellati; Candidatus Woesearchaeota. The record is from RNAcentral.
GGGGUCGUAGUUUAACCUGGCUAGAGCGGCCGGCUCCAGACCGGCAAAUCGGGGUUCAAAGGAGUCUCGAUGAAUUUCCCCGCGGCCCCA